UACUUAAUCCUGUCUACCAUGGCUCCCUCCUUGGAGAAGGAGUUUUGAUUCGUUGUAAAGACAGGUUCUUGCUACGUUGCCCAGGCUGGCCUUGAACUUACUAUGUACCUUGAUUUCUUGAUGUAUGACUAGGAGUACUGAAAACUCCAACCAGGCAGCUUGUAGUGCUGUGUGCCUCUCCCUAAAGGGUUAAGCUCAGCCCCGGCCAGCCCGAGAGAAACCCUAACCGGCAUCCCAUUCUUGCAGGAACUCUGUCGCGGUCUCAGCUCAAACUGGCCUCCAGAGGAACAAGAAACCUCCUGCGUUUACCAGAGAGAACCGGCGACCAAUUAGGCUGCAUCCUGCUUUUACCACCCAGAUAAGAAACUGUGAGGAAUGCCCCGGGUUUUUGGGUUACUGCAGCGCCUGGGAAGAAAUUACUGCACAGACCGGGAUCCUGGAGGCAGAACGAUGGCACAGUGGUGUGUGUGGGUAAUAUGAAUCCAGGUUACUUCCCAAGGCACUGGAGGGUGAUGGGAGGCAGUCCAGGUGUGAACUCCGUCAGUCAGGCCACCAGCCUGCAAGGCUCUCCACUGCUGAAUUCGCAGCCGCUGAACCCCCACCUCCCCCGUAGGUUCCUCAGACUGAGGCAGUCCCCUCUCCCCACUCUUGCAUAGAGGACACUGCCCUGUAUGAUCCGAGUAAACAGGGACAUCUCAGAAAAACACCGGGAGGCCAGGAAUUUCCUUAAUAAGAUAAGCUCAGGAACUUUAGGAAGGUAGCUGAACUCUUCGAAGGGAAAGACUAGUAUUCCUCAGACCACAGGGUGAGAAACUACCUGCAGGUGGGGGCACAUUCUGCAGGUGGACAUUUGCCCACCUUCAGACAAGGGAACUCUAAAGACCAAUCAGUUUAAAAAGUCACACUGUUCUACCAAUCAUAUUGUGUCUAAUGGCUGCUGCUCUGAAAAUUGUAUAAAAGUUCACUGAAUAAGCUGUGCAGGGUCACCUCCUUUCCUGAGGGUCUGGGUCGGCCUCAGUGAAUUGAAAUAAAAAAUCCUCAUGUUUUUUGCAUC
This is a long non-coding RNA of Mastomys coucha (southern multimammate mouse), 1054 nucleotides long. RefSeq lists it as uncharacterized. Lineage: Eukaryota; Metazoa; Chordata; Mammalia; Rodentia; Muridae. The transcript is spliced from 3 exons. The record is from RefSeq and is a predicted model, not a curated record.